Amphiprion ocellaris (clown anemonefish) is the source of this 865-nucleotide long non-coding RNA. Lineage: Eukaryota; Metazoa; Chordata; Actinopteri; Pomacentridae. The record is from Ensembl.
UGAACACACAAACUGCUCCACAGACACUCUAAAGUCGACACACAGAACACUUAUUCAUUCUGCUUUUGACUUUUACUUCUAAAUGUUUACAUUUGGUGUUGCUUUAAAAAAUGUCCAUGAGUGUUGAGUUAGGAAGUCAGCUAAUGACAGAACUGACCUCUGAUUGCCUUCCUGUGAUUGAGUAAACUUUCUCCUCCUGGUUGUUUUGUUGUAAACUCCACCCGUCUGGCACCUGAGUCAACGAACACAAACAACAGAAACUCCUCAGGCUGAAUUCCAUUUAAACCUGCGUGGCAGCACUAGUCCACACACACAUCUUCAGACUGACUCCAGCUGGUGGGAAAAUCUUUCUCAUCGUUGCUGUAAACUUCCUGUGAGCUGAUGCUGCCACCUUGAGGCAGAACUGAAAAUGUGCGUGGUUGGAUUAAAGCCUGCAUGCAGUCAGAGGGUCGGAUGAAGCAUCUGCUGGAUCAGGCCACAAUCAGACCAGCUGCAGAACAACAACACAAGAGAGGUCUGGAGAGGACUCCAGACCAUAUCAGGGCAGGGCAAGGGCAGAAAAGGGGAGCCUGAACCUGGGGACAGAGACUGGACCAACCAGUUAAACCUGUUUUUCAACAGGUUUGAUACUGGUCUCAUCCCCUCCCCUCCACCUCUAGCCUGAGCCUUGUCCAGCCGGCCUCCAGCUCCUGCUGCCUGCUAGCUCCCUCCCCCUCACCUCCUUCACCUCCACCAUCUCUGGCCCCCCCCCCCCAACAAACUGGACUGGACAGAUCACACUGACUCUCUGUAUAAGAAGGGUCAGUGUCAUCUAUACCUGCUGAGGAGACUCCCAUCAUUUGGUGUGAGCAGGACACUGCUGAGG